UUGUGCCUAUAAACCUUAUACAACUUUCAGCAACGGAUCUCUUGGCUCUCGCAUCGAUGAAGAACGCAGCGAAAUGCGAUAAGUAAUGUGAAUUGCAGAAUUCAGUGAAUCAUCGAAUCUUUGAACGCACCUUGCGCUCCUUGGUAUUCCGAGGAGCAUGCCUGUUUGAGUGUCAUUAAAUUCUCAACCAUUAUCAACUUUUGCUGAUAAUGGCUUGGAUGUGGGGGUCUAUUUUGCUGGCUUCUCAGAUAGUCAGCUCCCCUUAAAUGCAUUAGCCGGUGCCCCGCGUGGACUGUCUAUUGGUGUGAUAAUUAUCUACGCUAUAGACAUCUGCAAUCAUAUGGGUUUGCGCUGCUUCUAACAGUCUGUUGAUUCAGACAAUACAUGACAAUUUGACCUCAAAUCAGGUAGGACUACCCGCUGAACUUAAGCAUAUCAAUAAGCGG
This 446-nucleotide small RNA is filed under the name uncultured fungus. RNAcentral describes it as "eukaryotic LSU rRNA". The stretch from base 22 to 175 matches the Rfam family "5.8S ribosomal RNA". Lineage: Eukaryota; Fungi. The record is from RNAcentral.